CGGAGUGGUGGAAUUGGUAGACACGUCGGACUCAAAAUCCGAUGCGGGUUAUUCCGUGUGAGGGUUCGAGUCCCUCCUCCGGUA
RNAcentral lists this transfer RNA (84 nucleotides) under Candidatus Dojkabacteria bacterium. Its description in RNAcentral is "tRNA-Leu". It matches the Rfam family "tRNA". Rfam says of the family: Transfer RNA (tRNA) molecules are approximately 80 nucleotides in length. Their secondary structure includes four short double-helical elements and three loops (D, anti-codon, and T loops). The record is from RNAcentral.